Molecule: ribosomal RNA, 739 nt
Filed under: Bacillus subtilis subsp. subtilis
Lineage: Bacteria; Bacillati; Bacillota; Bacilli; Caryophanales; Bacillaceae
Description: bacterial SSU rRNA
Rfam family: Bacterial small subunit ribosomal RNA
Source: RNAcentral
GACAGAUGGGAGCUUGCUCCCUGAUGUUAGCGGCGGACGGGUGAGUAACACGUGGGUAACCUGCCUGUAAGACUGGGAUAACUCCGGGAAACCGGGGCUAAUACCGGAUGCUUGUUUGAACCGCAUGGUUCAAACAUAAAAGGUGGCUUCGGCUACCACUUACAGAUGGACCCGCGGCGCAUUAGCUAGUUGGUGAGGUAAUGGCUCACCAAGGCGACGAUGCGUAGCCGACCUGAGAGGGUGAUCGGCCACACUGGGACUGAGACACGGCCCAGACUCCUACGGGAGGCAGCAGUAGGGAAUCUUCCGCAAUGGACGAAAGUCUGACGGAGCAACGCCGCGUGAGUGAUGAAGGUUUUCGGAUCGUAAAGCUCUGUUGUUAGGGAAGAACAAGUACCGUUCGAAUAGGGCGGUACCUUGACGGUACCUAACCAAAAAGCCACGGCUAACUACGUGCCAGCAGCCGCGGUAAUACGUAGGUGGCAAGCGUUGUCCGGAAUUAUUGGGCGUAAAGGGCUCGCAGGCGGUUUCUUAAGUCUGAUGUGAAAGCCCCCGGCUCAACCGGGGAGGGUCAUUGUAAACUGGGGAACUUGAGUGCAGAAGAGGAGAGUGGAAUUCCACGUGUAGCGGUGAAAUGCGUAGAGAUGUGGAGGAACACCAGUGGCGAAGGCGACUCUCUGGUCUGUAACUGACGCUGAGGAGCGAAAGCGUGGGGAGCGAACAGGAUUAGAUACCCUGG